CUACGGGAUGCUCCAGUGGGGAAUUUUGCACAAUGGGGGAAACCCUGAUGCAGCGACGCCGCGUGCGGGAAGAAGGCCUUAGGGUUGUAAACCGCUUUCAAUUGUGAAGAAGGGAUGAGAGUUAAUAGCUUUCUGACUUGACGGUAGCAUUAGAAGAAGCACCGGCUAAUUUCGUGCCAGCAGCCGCGGUAAUACGAAAGGUGCAAGCGUUGUUCGGAUUUACUGGGCGUAAAGAGAUCGUAGGUGGUUUAUUAAGUCGGAUGUGAAAUCCCGGAGCUCAACUUCGGAACUGCAUUCGAUACUGGUAGGCUAGAGUUCGGGAGGGGAAAGCGGAAUUCCGUGUGUAGCAGUGAAAUGCGUAGAUAUACGGAGGAACACCUGAGGCGAAGGCGGCUUUCUGGACCGAUACUGACACUGAGGAUCGAAAGCGUGGGUAGCAAACAGGAUUAGAUACCCGGGUAGUC
RNAcentral lists this ribosomal RNA (464 nucleotides) under uncultured bacterium. RNAcentral describes it as "partial 16S ribosomal RNA". It matches the Rfam family "Bacterial small subunit ribosomal RNA", at positions 339 to 795 of the family's 1533-position model. The record is from RNAcentral.